AGCCCCGCAGUGGCGCACACCAAAAUGCAAGUUUGGAGACGCACCCCAUAAGGGUGCCGGGGCUUC
This 66-nucleotide transfer RNA is filed under the name Cyrtodactylus sp. SR2-2020. RNAcentral's name for it is "tRNA-Cys". The record is from RNAcentral. Lineage: Eukaryota; Metazoa; Chordata; Lepidosauria; Squamata; Gekkonidae.